Molecule: unclassified non-coding RNA, 242 nt
Filed under: Hevea brasiliensis (rubber tree)
Lineage: Eukaryota; Viridiplantae; Streptophyta; Magnoliopsida; Malpighiales; Euphorbiaceae
Source: RNAcentral
GUCACCCACUUCAUCUCUCGCACGAGAGGGCUCUCGGGACUUUGCUUGGCCUUUCCUUCUUCCUCUCACCGUAGGUUCAUCCACAAUAGAUGUUGCGCCAGCUUGCUCUUGAUCACCCAUGUCAGCCAUUUGCCGAGAACUCACUUCACCUUUGGUACGCUCUGAUACCACUUGUCACGGCCCUUUUGUCUUGCUAACCCAAAACCACAAAGAGCCGUGCGGCACUUGCACUCCACACGCAA